GGCCGGAUAGCCGAGUGGUCAGGCCAGGGUGCGCAACACCCUGUACAGUGGUUCGAAUCCAUUUCCGGCCUCCU
Molecule: transfer RNA, 74 nt
Filed under: Chitinophaga terrae (ex Kim and Jung 2007)
Lineage: Bacteria; Pseudomonadati; Bacteroidota; Chitinophagia; Chitinophagales; Chitinophagaceae
Description: Chitinophaga terrae Kim and Jung 2007 tRNA_Cys_GCA
Rfam family: tRNA
About the family: Transfer RNA (tRNA) molecules are approximately 80 nucleotides in length. Their secondary structure includes four short double-helical elements and three loops (D, anti-codon, and T loops).
Source: RNAcentral